CACGCCGUAAACGAUGCAUACUAGGAAUGUGGAGAAUCGACCCUCUGCGUUUCGAAGCUAACGCGUUAAGUAUGCCGCCUGGGUAGUACGACCGCAAGGUUAAAACUCAAAGGAAUUGACGGGGACCCGCACAAGCGGUGGAACAUGUGGUUUAAUUCGAUAACAAACGAAGAACCUCACCAGGACUUGACAUCUAUGGAAUCUCUAAGAAACUAGAGAGUGCCGCAAGGAGCCAUAAGACAGGUGC
This 247-nucleotide ribosomal RNA is filed under the name uncultured bacterium. Its description in RNAcentral is "partial 16S ribosomal RNA". It matches the Rfam family "Bacterial small subunit ribosomal RNA", at positions 796 to 1041 of the family's 1533-position model. The record is from RNAcentral.